This 330-nucleotide unclassified non-coding RNA is filed under the name soil metagenome. Its description in RNAcentral is "partial contains 5.8S ribosomal RNA, internal transcribed spacer 2, and large subunit ribosomal RNA". The stretch from base 1 to 121 matches the Rfam family "5.8S ribosomal RNA", at positions 35 to 154 of the family's 154-position model. The record is from RNAcentral.
GAUGAAGAACGCAGCGAAAUGCGAUAAGUAAUGUGAAUUGCAGAAUUCAGUGAAUCAUCGAAUCUUUGAACGCACCUUGCGCCCUUUGGCUAUUCCGAAGGGCAUGCCUGUUCGAGCGUCAUUAUAACCCCUCAAGCUCAGCUUGGUGUUGGGGCCUGCUGCACUGGCAGCCCUUAAAAUCAGUGGCGGCGCCAUCUGGCUCUAAGCGUAGUAAUUCUUCUCGCUAUGGAGUCCUGGUGGAUGCUUGCCAUCAACCCCCAAUUUUUCUAUGGUUGACCUCGGAUCAGGUAGGGAUACCCGCUGAACUUAAGCAUAUCAAUAAGCGGAGGA